CUACGGGCUGCUCCAGUGAGGAAUAUUGCACAAUGGGGGGAACCCUGAUGCAGCAACGCCGCGUGGAGGAUGACGCAUUUCGGUGUGUAAACUCCUUUUAUAUGUCAAGAAAAUGACGGUAGCAUAUGAAUAAGCACCGGCUAACUCCGUGCCAGCAGCCGCGGUAAUACGGGAGGGUGCAAGCGUUACUCGGAAUCACUGGGCGUAAAGGACGCGUAGGCGGGUUGGAAAGUCAGGUGUGAAAUCCUACAGCUUAACUUUAGAACUGCACUUGAAACUUCUAAUCUAGAGUAUGGGAGGGGGAGAUGGAAUUAGUGGUGUAGGGGUAAAAUCCGUAGAUAUCACUAGGAAUACCUAAAGCGAAGGCGAUCUCCUGGAACAUUACUGACGCUAAGGCGUGAAAGCGUGGGGAGCAAACAGGAUUAGAUACCCCGGUAGUC
RNAcentral lists this ribosomal RNA (440 nucleotides) under uncultured bacterium. Its description in RNAcentral is "partial 16S ribosomal RNA". It matches the Rfam family "Bacterial small subunit ribosomal RNA", at positions 339 to 795 of the family's 1533-position model. The record is from RNAcentral.